Molecule: ribosomal RNA, 253 nt
Filed under: uncultured bacterium
Lineage: Bacteria
Description: partial 16S ribosomal RNA
Rfam family: Bacterial small subunit ribosomal RNA
Source: RNAcentral
UACGGAGGGUGCAAGCGUUAUCCGGAUUCACUGGGCUUAAAGGGUGCGCAGGUGGUUCGGUAAGUCCGUGGUGAAAUCCCCGAGCUUAACUCGGGAACUGCCGUGGAUACUAUCGAUCUUGAAUACUGUGGAGGUAAGCGGAAUAUGUCAUGUAGCGGUGAAAUGCUUAGAUAUGACAUAGAACACCAAUUGCGAAGGCAGCUUACUACACAGUUAUUGACGCUGAGGCACGAAAGCGUGGGGAGCAAACAGG